CGGCUGGUCCAAGUCCUCAUCAUCCUCCGACAGGGGCAGCGGUGGGUUCUUCACUACUGGCAUCCUGAAGCACCUGAACACGAUCGUGGCGGUUGGCUUAAUUGUGUCGAUGAUCGUUGGGGUCUUGGCCGGCGGCAUGUUCUUCUCCUACAAGAUCGGAGUGGAAGGGAAGGAUGCGGUGAUAUCGCUGAAAUCCCACGUCCAGAAUAGUAACUACACCGAGAGGAUUGGAUUCAAUAAGUGGAUGGAGGACAACGAUAUACCUGGGCUGGUGGAUCAGUACUCGGCCAAGCUCUACGACACAGUCUGGCAGCAGGUCGAUAGCUUGGCUGUUCGAUAUAAUUUGACUGAUUUCAGUGAUGGUCUCCGACAUUUCUUGAUUAGCCGAUCAGGGAAUCCUUCGGCAGGC
Molecule: long non-coding RNA, 409 nt
Filed under: Musa acuminata (dwarf banana)
Lineage: Eukaryota; Viridiplantae; Streptophyta; Magnoliopsida; Zingiberales; Musaceae
Description: long non-coding RNA (MACU_LNC009500)
Source: RNAcentral